AUGCGAGUCGAGAGGGUUCGGCCCUCGGCAGACGGCUCAGUAACACGUGGAUAAUCUGCCCUUAGGUGGAGGAUAACCUCGGGAAACUGAGAAUAAUACUCCAUAGAUCUAGGAUGCUGGAAUGCACUUAGAUUGAAAGUUCCGGCGCCUAAGGAUGAGUCUGCGGACUAUCAGGUAGUAGUCAGGGUAAAGGCCUGACUAGCCUACGACGGAUACGGGUUGUGAGAGCAAUAACCCGGAGACGAUAUCUGAGACACGAUAUCGGGCCCUACGGGGCGCAGCAGGCGCGAAACCUUCACAAUGUGCGAAAGCGCGAUGAGGGGAUCCCAAGUGCUUGCUCGUAAGAGUAAGCUGUUUUUAUGUCUAAAACGCAUAGAGAGUAAGGGCUGGGUAAGACGGGUGCCAGCCGCCGCGGUAAUACCUGCAGCUCAAGUGGUGACCGCUAUUAUUGGGCCUAAAACAUUCGUAGCCGGUUUGGUAAAUGCCUGGGUAAAUCGUGUAGCUUAACUAUACGAAUUCCGGGUAGACUGCCAAACUUGAGACCGGGAGAAGCUAGAGGUACUCCUUGGGUAGAGGUGAAAUUCUGUAAUCCUAGGGGGACCACCAGUGGCGAAGGCGUCUAGCUAGAACAGGUUUGACGGUGAGGAAUGAAGCCCUGGGGCGCAAACCGGAUUAGAUACCCGGGUAGUCCAGGGUGUAAACGCUGCUUGCUUGAUGUUAGUUGGGCUCCGAGCCCAAUUAGUGUCGGAGAGAAGUUGUUAAGCAAGCUGCCUGGGAAGUACGAUCGCAAGAUUGAAACUUAAAGGAAUUGGCGGGGGAGCACAGCAACGGGUGGAGCGUGCGGUUUAAUUGGAUUCAACGCCGGAA
RNAcentral lists this ribosomal RNA (867 nucleotides) under uncultured euryarchaeote. RNAcentral's name for it is "bacterial SSU rRNA". It matches the Rfam family "Archaeal small subunit ribosomal RNA", at positions 51 to 923 of the family's 1478-position model. The record is from RNAcentral. Lineage: Archaea; Methanobacteriati; Methanobacteriota.